AGAAUCAACGCUGGCGGCGUGCCUCAGACAUGCAAGUCGAACGCGAAAGCCCCCUUCGGGGGGCAAGUAGAGUGGCGCACGGGUGAGUAACACGUAGGUAAUCUACCUUCGGAUGGGGAAUAACAACCGGAAACGGUUGCUAAUACCGCAUAAUGCAGCGGCACCUAAUGGUGACAGUUGUUAAAGCGGGGGAUCGAAAGCCUCGCGUCUGAAGAGGAGCCUGCGGCGGAUUAGCUAGUUGGUAAGUAAUGGCUUACCAAGGCGACGAUCC
RNAcentral lists this ribosomal RNA (271 nucleotides) under uncultured soil bacterium. RNAcentral describes it as "partial 16S ribosomal RNA". It matches the Rfam family "Bacterial small subunit ribosomal RNA", at positions 26 to 282 of the family's 1533-position model. The record is from RNAcentral.